AAAGUGUCAUUUCUAGAGUGUGAUUGUAGGAGCCAUAUGUUGGGUUAUUUAUUUCCCACUUGAAGUAUGUGUGCACUUGCGCAGUGACACCACCGGUGAUUGUGGGUGGCACUGUGGGUGUGUUGAGGUUAUUAAUGAGUGUGCUCACCUGUGUUGGUUUGGGGCCUGGAGCAUGGAGACAGGGUGAGCUUGAGCUGAAACUU
Melanotaenia boesemani (Boeseman's rainbowfish) is the source of this 203-nucleotide long non-coding RNA. RefSeq lists it as uncharacterized. The record is from RefSeq and is a predicted model, not a curated record. Lineage: Eukaryota; Metazoa; Chordata; Actinopteri; Atheriniformes; Melanotaeniidae. The transcript is spliced from 3 exons.